Molecule: ribosomal RNA, 801 nt
Filed under: uncultured bacterium
Lineage: Bacteria
Description: bacterial SSU rRNA
Rfam family: Bacterial small subunit ribosomal RNA
Source: RNAcentral
UCAUUAGCGAGUAGCAAUAUUUGCUAGUGGGAGUGGCGCAAGGGUGCGUAACACGUGGGCAAUCUGCCGUGAAGUUUGGGAUAACUUGCUGAAAGGCGAGCUAAUACCGGAUGUGACAACCUGGUGGCAUCAUUGGGUUGUUAAAGUUGGGGACCGCAAGGCCUGACGCUUCACGAUGAACCCGCGGCCUAUCAGCUAGUUGGUGAGGUAACGGCUCACCAAGGCUAAGACGGGUAGCUGGUCUGAGAGGACGACCAGCCACACUGGAACUGAGACACGGUCCAGACACCUACGGGUGGCAGCAGUCGAGAAUUUUUCACAAUGGGCGAAAGCCUGAUGGAGCGACGCCGCGUGGGGGAUGAAUGGCUUCGGCCCGUAAACCCCUGUCAUUCGCGAUCAACCCUUAUUAUUUAAAAGAUGAUGAGCUGAUAGUAGCGGAAGAGGAAGGGACGGCUAACUCUGUGCCAGCAGCCGCGGUAAUACAGAGGUCCCAAGCGUUGUUCGGAUUCACUGGGCGUAAAGGGUGCGUAGGUGGCGAGGUAAGUCGGAUGUGAAAUCUCCAAGCUCAACUUGGAAAUGGCAUUGGAAACUGCCCUGCUAGAGGAUCGGAGGGGGGACUGGAAUACUUGGUGUAGCAGUGAAAUGCGUAGAUAUCAAGUGGAACACCAGUGGCGAAGGCGAGUCCCUGGACGAUACCUGACACUGAGGCACGAAAGCUAGGGGAGCAAACAGGAUUAGAUACCCUGGUAGUCCUAGCCGUAAACGGUGCACGUUUGCUGUAAAAGGAAUCGACCCCUUUUG